UACAGAGGGUGCAAGCGUUGCUCGGAUUUACUGGGCGUAAAGCGUACGCAGACGGCAAGGUCGGUCGAAUGUGAAAGCCCAGGGCUCAACCCUGGAAAUGCAUCCGAAACCUCCUUGCUCGAGUAUGAGAGAGGAAAGCGGAAUUCCUGGUGUUGAGGUGAAAUUCGUAGAUAUCAGGAGGAACAUCGGCGGCGAAGGCGGCUUUCUGGCUCAUUACUGACGUUCAGGUACGAAAGCGUGGGUAGCAAACAGG
RNAcentral lists this ribosomal RNA (253 nucleotides) under uncultured bacterium. Its description in RNAcentral is "partial 16S ribosomal RNA". It matches the Rfam family "Bacterial small subunit ribosomal RNA", at positions 524 to 776 of the family's 1533-position model. The record is from RNAcentral.